Molecule: long non-coding RNA, 1930 nt
Organism: Loxodonta africana (African savanna elephant)
Lineage: Eukaryota; Metazoa; Chordata; Mammalia; Proboscidea; Elephantidae
Exons: 3
Source: RefSeq, a predicted model, not a curated record
GCUUUCGUUUCCCAUAGAAUGGAAAGUGAAACUCAGCCCGAGGCCGGCCGCGCGGGCCCGGAUCCUGGCCGAAAGUGAGGGGCGAGAGUGGCGUCGCAGGUGAACACCGGAGACGAGUCAUCAGUGCGUAUCUGGUACAUCUGUGUUGUGUGUUUUAGCGUGUAAAGAUGUGUACUAUGUUUUGAAUACUUGCCGUUUGUCGACAAUUCCAAGAAUAGAUGCCUCUUCUGCUAUCGUAAGAUCUAUGCAAUUGGGAUGAAUCUUACAAUCGUUUGGCAUUUCAUAGGAUAAAUGGCAGCGUAUCUUUCUUUCUUAAUGCUAUAACUUCUUAAAUUGUGUAUCUUAAAACCGGUGGCUUGUAGAAUCAGUGAAAUAGGCCACAUAUGUGUAAAGUCCUUAUCCUGUUUCUCUCUUGCUCUGCAGGAGCCCACAGAGGUGGGUCCACAUGGUGAGUGGUGGAGCAAAAGGGGGAAAAAAAGUGGAUUUUGGAUCGAAAGUUGGAGCUAUUCUUGUGGAUUCAUGACUCUCAAUAGGGAAAACGAACAUAUACAUAAAUUUGGAAUCCUUGGCUCCCAGGUAAAGUACUCCUGAUCAAGACCAGUCCCUUCCAUGUAACAGACAACUUCUGGAUCAAUCUCCUGUAGGAGGGGUAUUUGAGGGGACCCUGAAGAAUUUGGACCUGCAGAGAUGACCUUGGGGCAUUUUAGGUGGCAAGAGAACUAUGAACAAAGGCCUGGAGGCAGGAGAACAUAGGGCAGGUCCCACAAACUGCUCAGCUUGGAAUGUAAGCUCAUGAAGAACAGAGCAGAUGAGACAUCUGUGCCACCUACAACCAUCUUCUAUGAGGAGGAGAGCCUUUGUUUUGCAGAACAUCAAAAAAGGAAAUACUAGCAUCUCCCAGCCCUUUUCUAAUUCCAUUGCAAGAAAUCCUUCCCUUUAUCAAUGUUACAUUUUUCCUCUUUUCAUAUUAGUCAUUUCUUUUUGCUUUGCUCUCAGAGGACUAAGAGCAGCUGAUCACUAGAAAAAGCUUUGCAGCCUUAAAAAUCAUUUUGAAGUAUCACAAAACAGUAACGCUGGCAUAUUAGCUAGGAAGAGAGCUGAUAUGGGCCAGCCGUGCAUGCCAGGUGAAAACCUAAGACCAAUCCGUAUUCACCUGACCACCUGUGAGGCCAAAUGCCACACGGUUGCUUUUGGGAAGCGUAUUAUUACAGCAAAUCAUUUCCAGUUGUCAGGCUGAGAGAAUAAAUCACGUAUAUUUUUAGGACGGAGAUCAAGAUGGCAAGUAAAAAAGUAGAUCCGCAGUGUUACAGAGAGAUAAUUAAGGUAAGAAUGAAUGUGAUUCGUAAAAGAUCGCUUGGAUUAUCUUUGCUCAGAACCCUCCAAUUAGGGCAUAUUCAAAAUCGCUCAGAACAAAGAAUAGAUGGUAAGCCAGAAACAGCAAGAACAAAGAGUCGACCUAAAUUAACAUUGGUGCUUGAAUAUGGCCCAGGAAAAGGGCUCAUUUUAUAGGCACAGCAGUUAGGGCAACAACAGGGUUGACAGACAUGAGAUGGGCCUUAGAAAUGGCGGGGGUGUUGUGCUUGGUAAGUAGACUCCCAGUGUAAGAGGCCCCAUGAUGUCAAAAAGCCCUUGUGCUUUAGCUGACAUCAGGAGCAAGGGCAGGAGAUAAAUUAAGGAGUUUAAUCCAAUACAUACAGUGGCCACUCAAUUUUCCAUUCUCUUCCACAGCUCAUUAUCUGGGAGCAGUUCUAACAGGAGGACACCCACAGGGGAAAUGCCAGCCACAAAGGCCACAGAUAGUGCUGUUGGUCUCUUGGUGGCCCAGGGGGAAAGAAAGCAGUUGAUCCACUUCCUGCCCUCAAGAGCACCCCUUCCUCCCACGCAACCCCUAUCACUGGUCCUGUACUCACCAGUUAUUGCCUCCUCAAAA